RNAcentral lists this ribosomal RNA (1769 nucleotides) under Rhytidocystis cyamus. RNAcentral's name for it is "SSU rRNA". It matches the Rfam family "Eukaryotic small subunit ribosomal RNA". Lineage: Eukaryota; Apicomplexa; Marosporida; Agamococcidiorida; Rhytidocystidae. The record is from RNAcentral.
UUGCGCUACCUGGUUGAUCCUGCCAGUAGUCAUAUGCUUGUCUCAAAGAUUAAGCCAUGCAUGUCUAAGUUCAACUUUUUUGAAGAGAAGACUGUGGAAAGCUCAUUAAAACAGUUAUUGUUUAUUUGAUGAUUGAAAACCAAAUGGAUAACUUUGGUAAUUCUAUAGCUAAUACAUGAGAAAAGUUACUUGAAAGAGUAAUGUGCUUAUUAGAUACCAACCAAACUGCUUUUGCAGGAACGGUGAGUCAUAGUAAGUGAUCGAAUCGCAGGGUGUAUACCCGAUGAUGCAUCAUUCAAGUUUCUGACCUAUCAGCUUCCGACGGUAAGGUAUUGGCUUACCGUGGCAGUGACGGGUAACGGGGAAUUAGGGUUUGAUUCCGGAGAGGGAGCCUGAGAAAUGGCUACCACAUCUAAGGAAGGCAGCAGGCGCGUAAAUUACCCAAUUCUGACACAGAGAGGUAGUGACAAGAAAUAACAAUACAGAAUACUUCGUAUUCUGUAAUUGGAAUGAGUGCAAGGUAAAACUUUGCGCGAGUAUCAAUUGGAGGGCAAGUCUGGUGCCAGCAGCCGCGGUAAUUCCAGCUCCAAUAGCGUAUAUUAAAGUUGUUGCAGUUAAAAAGCUCGUAGCUGGGUCGUUGGUCUAUCUCUGUUGCUGGCUUAACUGUCAGCAAUGGACGAUUUUCCAAUUUUUGGUGUUUGGUGCUCUCUGAGUACUACUAUACCAAAAUGUUACUUUGAGUAAAUUAGAGUGUUCCUAGCAAGCUAUUGCCAUGAAUACUGCAGCAUGGAAUAAUAAGAUAACUAUUGUACUUCUUGUUGGUUGACGUGCAAUUGUCAUGAUUGAUAGGAACAGCUGGGGGCAUUCGUAUUCAACAGUCAGAGGUGAAAUUCUUAGAUUUGUUGAAGACGAACUAAUGCGAAAGCAUUUGCCAAGAAUGUUUUCAUUAGUCAAGAACGAAAGUUAGGGGAUCGAAGACGAUCAGAUACCGUCGUAGUCUUAACCGUAAACUAUGCCAACUAGAGAUUGGAGGAUGUUAAUUACUGACACCUUCAGAACCUUAUGGGAAACCAAAGUCUUUGGGUUCUGGGGGGAGUAUGGUCGCAAGGCUGAAACUUAAAGGAAUUGACGGAAGGGCACCACCAGGAGUGGAGCCUGCGGCUUAAUUUGACUCAACACGGGGAAACUCACCAGGUCCAGACAUAGGAAGGAUUGACAGACUGAGAGCUCUUUCUUGAUUCUAUGGGUGGUGGUGCAUGGCCGUUCUUAGUUGGUGGAGUGAUUUGUCUGCUUAAUUGCGAUAACGAACGAGACCUCUACUUACUAAAUAGCAGAGGGAACUACGGUUCCUUCGGGCUUCUUAGCAGAACUUCGUAUGUCUAAUACGAGGAAGUUGGAGGCAAUAACAGGUCUGUGAUGCCCUUAGAUGUUCUGGGCUGCACGCGCGCUACACUGAUACAGUUAAUGAGUUACUUUUCCCGAUUGGAUAAGAGAACUCUUUGAGUCUGUAUCGUAAUGGGAACAAACGAUUGCAAUUAUUCGUUUCGAACGAGGAAUUCCUAGUAAGCAUGAGUCAUCAGCUUGUGCUGAUUACGUCCCUGCCCUUUGUACACACCGCCCGUCGCUCCUACCGAUUGGAUGAUCCGGUGAGUUAGUCUGACAACAGAGACGCAGAUUCUGUGCCUUUGUUGGAAGACUCGCGAACCUUAUCAUUUAGAGGAAGGAGGAGUCGUAACAAGGUCUUCGUAGGUGAACCUGCAGAAGGAUCA